RNAcentral lists this long non-coding RNA (279 nucleotides) under Physcomitrium patens. RNAcentral's name for it is "long non-coding RNA (PPAT_LNC003399)". The record is from RNAcentral. Lineage: Eukaryota; Viridiplantae; Streptophyta; Bryopsida; Funariales; Funariaceae.
AAACUCUAGGCCAAAUUCUAAACCUUAAAUCAAAUCCUAGAAAAAUCCUAAAUUUUAAACCAAAUCCUAAAUCAAAUUCUAAAUAAAUCUUAAAUCUUAAAUCAAAUCUUCAACGAAUCCUAAAUCCUAAAAAAAUCCUAGAUAAAUAAAAUCCUAGAUAAAUACUAAGCUCUAAAUUAUAUCCUAAAAAAUCCUAAAUCUUAAAUCAAAUACUAAAUAAAUCCUAAAUCAUAAAUUAAAUCCUUAAUUAUAUCUUAAUGUAAAUUUAAAUCUUAAUAU